AAAUAACUUUGAACUCUAUACAAGUACUUAAGAUCUAUCAAACAGUUUUAGAUUCCAUUUCCAAAACACAGGUGAUACCAAUCAUAUGAUAUGACUAGUUAUCAGAAAACUAUUCUGGAUCAUCACACUUGAGCACACUAUUAAUGUUAAGCAAAGAACUUCAAGUAGAGGAAAUAAAUAUGCCCACAAGAAGAGAUGUGAAAUAAGGUCAUAUUACUUUACAUACUGGCAAUUGAAAACGUAAUAACAAAAUGAUGGCCAGUAAAGGGAUAGAAAUAUAUUGCUCAAGAAGAUGACGCAGGAGUCGAAGAGAUUGGAUUGAAUGAAAGCUGCUCAGCACAAGUAAGCACUUCAUGGGGACCUGCUUCCUCUCGGCCAACACCCAGCAGGUCGAGGUAAUACUGGUAAUGGGAGACGAUGUUGUUCAUAGCAUCAAUAUCACCCUGACCGCAAACAAGAUCCCCAUAGAGGAUAUUCAUUGUGGCGCCAAAGCCAGGAACACGCUUUGCCAAAGUAUCAUUCUUGGUCGGUUUCCAUUUAGCAACAAAGAUAUCGUGUGCUGAAGGCUGUGAUUUCUUGAUUGGGGUCAUCCAUCUCCAAAUUGCAGCCUGAAAGGCAAGUGUAGCAUUCUGCUCUAUGUAUUCCGGAUGGUUUAACAAAUCCACCUUUAAAGCCUCCCCGGCUGCUCCAUAGUUGUAGUUCC
Molecule: long non-coding RNA, 703 nt
Organism: Tripterygium wilfordii
Lineage: Eukaryota; Viridiplantae; Streptophyta; Magnoliopsida; Celastrales; Celastraceae
Exons: 2
Source: RefSeq, a predicted model, not a curated record